UUGACGCUUAAGUUCUCGGGUUCCGCGGCAGGCCUGGUUGGAGAUAGCUUCCUUUCCUUGGGUGGAUCUGUUGAGCGUGGAUUCGAUCUAGGGGCAUAACCGAGUAUCAGGUAGGGGUUCAGCGAGGGGCAGACCGACGAGAGGCAGGAAG
Long non-coding RNA from Cucumis melo (muskmelon), 151 nucleotides. RefSeq lists it as uncharacterized. The transcript has 3 exons. Lineage: Eukaryota; Viridiplantae; Streptophyta; Magnoliopsida; Cucurbitales; Cucurbitaceae. The record is from RefSeq and is a predicted model, not a curated record.